This 72-nucleotide transfer RNA is filed under the name Actinomycetes bacterium. RNAcentral describes it as "Actinobacteria bacterium (soil metagenome) tRNA-Asp". It matches the Rfam family "tRNA". Rfam says of the family: Transfer RNA (tRNA) molecules are approximately 80 nucleotides in length. Their secondary structure includes four short double-helical elements and three loops (D, anti-codon, and T loops). RNAcentral also lists the same sequence under 1 other name. The record is from RNAcentral. Lineage: Bacteria; Bacillati; Actinomycetota; Actinomycetes.
GGCCUGGUAGCUCACUGGUAGAGCGCCGCCCUGUCGAGGCGGAUGCCGCGGGUUCGAUUCCCGUCCGGGUCG